This is a long non-coding RNA of Tympanuchus pallidicinctus (lesser prairie-chicken), 6613 nucleotides long. RefSeq lists it as uncharacterized. The record is from RefSeq and is a predicted model, not a curated record. NCBI's taxonomy places the organism in Eukaryota, Metazoa, Chordata, Aves, Galliformes, Phasianidae. The transcript is spliced from 2 exons.
GUUGCUUACAGACUUUAAUGCUUAAUAAUGAUAGUUUAGUUUAAAGAGAUAACACAUAACAUCAAAAAAACAAAAAGAAACAUUUUGAAAUUCCAUCAUUAAUUAAUGAUGCCUGACAUCACAUCUAUUUUUGCAUGUAUUACAAGUAUACUUCACUGUUUUUACCUGAUGACACCUUUCAUAGCUCUUUGUUUCUAUGCACACUAUUUUCAGAUUCGUAGUGCCUUCCAAUAAUAAGCCCAUUGGAGGUAUAGUUUUGUUAUAUAAUGUUAAGGAACUUGGUAGAGAUGUCUCAAUUCCUAGUGUAAUUUUGUACAGUUUUAUGAAUUAAGAUGACGUUAGCAGGUGGCAUAAUAGGUGAUAUAUAUAAUUGAAGUUAUGGGUAGCUAUUAUCCUUUCUAGAAGGAAAGCUUGUACAUGACUUGAAUGAGAAAUUAAAACUGAAAAAAGGGGAAUGUUUUAUAUAAUACUGUAUCUGAUACUUUUCGAGCCCAUAGUGAUGGUGUGCAAAAUCACAGGUAUGGAUUACAAUGCAAAAAUGCUGUGAAAUAAAACCGUACUGUGAGGUACCUGUGAGUCAUGGUAACAGGCAUGCCCAUUUUGCUCUGCUUGUGUUACACAGCAAAGACAUGUACCUUUGGUCUGGUACUUGCUCAAAUGCUAAAUGUUAUAAUCAUGUAAAUAACCUCAUGAGUGGAAAAAAAAGAAGGUGGGGAUCUGGGACAGUCAUUAUCCUUUUGAAAGUCGUGAUAACACUUAGCAUGUCUGAAAGUAAUGUAAGCACUGAGUGUAAGUGCUAUGCUGGAUAAUAGCCAGAGCACUCCACACACAGCAGACUACAGCGUCUGUUUUCUUGCAGCAGCAACUACUGACACUGUAGACAAACCAUCUACAUUUAUCUUGCUGCCAGUUUCAGACCCUUUCCUGCUGGCACUGUUGCUUCCACUCAUUCUGAAUUGCACUUUAAGGCAAAACAAAAGUCCCUGUCAAUGAGAGAAACAAAGAGUAAGUCCAUAAUAAAUAGUACCAUGUGGGCACAAGGACUCAAGCAGAAAGGGAGAAGGAAGAGCAAAUUCUGAAUUUUGUAGUGACAGAACAUAAAAGUAUUCCUAGAGAGCAGCUGCAGUGCUGGGAUCCCCAAUCAGAUAAUUUCCUUGAGGCUUAAGGGAGCCAAGAGCUUUAGCCACCGUUGACAAAUGGCCGCUUUUACAGUCUGUUUUGGCUUUCAGGAUUUUCUGUCGUCUAUAAAAGGGAAGCUACCAUUCAAAUGUUAGUGAUGGGCUUAGGGCAGAAAUUAAAGUAGAGCCUUCUGUGCUUGUGUUAUGUGGGAAGACAGAUGAAACAGCCAGAGAGGUCCCUUCUGGCUUGAAGAGAUCUGGGAGCUGUGCAUAAAAGAUUAUGGCUUCCCACACAAGCUAGGUCAAGUGUGCAGGAUAGAUCUUGAGGGAGUUUUGAAAGCAGAGCGUUAGGGCCUGGCAGGUCAGAAAGGGUAUCCCUCAGAGAAUAAAUUAGUGUCAAGCUCCUAAAAUAAAUCAUAUUUGGAAAUACACAAGUGACCCAUGUGCUUUAGUUACGUUUGUCCCAAACUUGUAUGUGAUUUCCAAUAAAGUUUGAAAACAUGCGUGGCUAUAGAGGGUAAAUUCUAAACUUUCAUGAGCAACUGAUAAUGUAUUUUAAACUCCUCUGUGCCAAAACUAUAUAAUAUGUGGGGCACAGCGGCUCCAAAACACUUGUUCUCUAUGCCAGAGUUUAGACAACCAAAUAAAUCAGACAAGCAUCUGGCCUUAUUGUUGCAGUUAGAACUAGACAUGAGGAAUUACUUUGUAUGAAUGUGAUGAGACAAAAUUAAAUUUAAACUUCUAACAUAGUCAAUAAAUUUUACAAUAGUCUAAUUUUUCAAGGAACCUUGCCUCAAGCAAGAGCCACAAUGGGAAAGAUAUAUAUAUAGUUCUUAACUUCUAAUGCUGAAUAUCUGUUUUCUCCAUUUAAUAGAUUCAGUGCUUCAUCAGUUCUAUAAUUGCACUUACCCAGUUAAGAACUAGAAGUACGAGGGCUGCUCUGAAAGUAAUGCCUCCUAUUUUGCAAUAUUGGCCCAUGACAUCAGAGGUGGAUGGUGGGGGUAUGGCAAUGGAGACAGAACCAUCUCAACAAUAUUCCAUUACACUAAUAAGUCAUAUAAACAUCAGCUUUUCAUCCAUCCUGCAAAUAGCACAAGAAAGUGUCUCCAUUAGUGACUGAGAUGUGAUGUGAAAGCUCCACCUAUUUUAAAUCCAUACAGUUCUCUCUUCAUACGUAUUUGUUAUUUGUGACCUUUCAAAUAUUAUUGUAUUCAGAUGGUAGUCUUGAUGCAUUCAACCUAUGGACCAUCUACCUGUGGAGGAAGAUAUACGAGUCUACCUUGUCAUCAGAAAUUUCUCAGAGAGGUAAAUUUUAGAUAUGUUUUCUUUCUAAUGUUAUUAUAUUGCCAAGAUUUUUCACCUCUGUUUAAAAGCUUUAUAAUUACCAAACAUCAGCGACAACUGAAAAGGGGCUAAUGAAAAAGUUACUAAGGAAGGAAAGAGAUCCCUUAGAAGUUUUUUUUCAGAAAUGAGGCUCUGAAAUUAUGAUAACGUGAACAGAAUAUCAGAUUUUGAAACUGAAAAAAAAAAUACUCAUGAAACUGAAAGAAAUGUUGGUCCCCUCUAGUAGCUGCAGCCAGCCCAUCCUGUUUUGUACAGCCAUUAUUCUGAAAUGGCCUAUUUUUAUUUCACAGCACCUUCACACUUCAUACUACUACCAACAUUCGCAGCAGUAAAUAAAUUCAUUCAUCUGAAUAAUCUCACUGAACAUGUGUAACAGUCUAUGUUACAGUAAAUUCUGGGUGGAAGGAGAUAAAAUAAGCCUCUGUUCCUCAAAUCAGUGCUCACCAGGACACAGCCCCAGCAUUAGUCAACAUCUCUGCCUCCUUUGUGCUGUCUUAUCUGUGCCUGGGGUGAGUGUAGAAAUCAGAGCAUGGCUGGCAUGGAGUAGCAGAGGCCAGGAGAAAAAAAUACAACCAGUCCAGUAGGAUGACUGCAGAAAUAAGUAUGUCUUACUGUAGGCAAAAUUGCUUACCAUUAUUCCACUGCAGGUUCUUUGGAAAUCCUUAUUACUUGCAAGUCUUUCUCAUUUAAACUUUUCAAUUACUGAGAGCUUCUGAUGUGAAUCAUAUGACAUUUUUUAUUCUUGCUUCCCUACUGCUCUGCAUGCCCCAGAGUCUACACACCAAUAAAAAUUAUCUGAGUGUUUCCACUUCACAAGAAACUCUACCUAAAGAAACUUAAGAAACUGUUUAAAAUUUCAUCAGUUUUCAUUCUAGUCAUAUUUUCGUUUAGACCCUCCAAUUUAUUCACAUGAAUAUUUGUUUGGGUGCAGUUAUAACUAUUUUUCCUUUUUUUAAACCCUUCCAUAUAUUAGAUCUGUGUUGAAAACUACUUCCACUUAUUUUGCACUCCAACUUCUCACUACUUUUGUUGACUUUAUGUAAAUAUUUUCUUUUAGGCAAGAGAUUUCAAAGCACUUCUAAUGGUUUUUUAAUGCAAAAUUACUGAAACUGCCUUCAUUGGUUCUUUUUCCUCACCCAGAUUUAAAAUAGGUUUUUAUAGACUACAAAUUGAAGCAGGAAAUUCAUGUCUGUGCUACGAGAAGCAUAAGAAAAUACUUUAAGCUUUCCAAACAGAGUUGCUGUGAAACAUAGGCAUUUUGUUGUGCCCUCUCUCAUCAGGACUGGCGUAUAUUCUAAGCACCAGAGAUCUCAGACCACUUUAAAGACUAGCCACAGUUUGUGUAAUCAAUCUUUGUUUUUCUGCCUCAGAGUUUUCAUAUCAUCUAUAACUUAUCUGUAUUUCUGCCAGAAUCAAUAAAUUCAUGUGCAAAUUAGAGUAUUUUAACAGCCAGAAAUAUUGCAUUGACUAGAAUAAUUCCAUGAGACUUGCAUGUGCUUAUGAGACGUGUGUGUAUGUUUCUACGCUCACAUUUCAGACAUGUCUGAUGAGUGAGAAAUGCCAGCUGCUGUCCCAUGACAAUACACACUGGACUGACUUUAAAGUAGCUGCAGAAAGAAUCUUUAGAGAGAUUGAACACCAGAGUUUUACUAUGUGACAAGAAAGAAUCAGCUCAGGUGGGAUUGCUGUGUAUCAUCAGGGAUCAAAUCUGCAUGCUGUUUACAUCAGUGUAGCAAUAUGAACAAUGAGCGUGACCAUUGGAAUUGGGCUCAAUGUUUAUCAAUUACUGUUGAUAUCCAAUUAUCAAAGCACAGCUAAAUUCCAUACAAGAUGUCAGCACAAAUAAUUAUAGACAAUUUUCUCCUACUCCACAAACUGACCUGGAUGGUUCUCUCUGUGCUUCAAGAGAUGUGGAAUUGUUACACUCACGGCAACCAUUGUCUUUCCUUGUGGAAGAAAUUCAACGUUAUGACUUAACCGAAUCAUCACAGAGGAGAAGCAGAUGGGUUUUUGUGAGAGAAAGAUCCCCACGUAGUUUUUAAAAAUGUAUCUUUUUUAAUCAGAAGAAUGUCUGGGAAAAUGAUGAAAACGCAAAUAGCUACUUAUUAAAAUAAGCUGUAACAAAACUCCCUGAAGUGAGUUAGUGCAUUUUAUUUUAUCACUGAAUUAAAGUUUAAUUUAAGCUCCCAUAAAAACUAACUUAGACUUUUACACUGACUUGUAAGGAGUAUAUGCUAUAUUCAAUAAUCCUUGUCAAAUAAAGGCACAAAUCUAAUUAAGCAAUAAAUCCAUAAAAAUUGUUACACACAGUUAAUGAGUGGCUUGCAUUUUCAUAACAGCAAUGGCAUAUUAAGAAAGCAUUAGCUGUGGUAGUAUGGCUGGAGUAGUUAUACUGAUAAAUUAGUCAUUCUGGCAUUUCAUGACUGACUUUUAAUCACUUCGAGUUGCAGAGAUGUGCUUGGUUUAGAAUUUGUGCUAUUAUUCAUAAAUUCUAUUAAAAGAGAGUUAAUCUAAGUAUCUAUCCAUAUUUGUAAGAUAUCAGUUUUACAAAAUGAGUUAGUUUUUCAUCUCAGCAGGACAAGCAGCUCUGGCUGACAGCAAUCUAGAGUUGAUACUAAAAGUUGGGACCAAAACCACCAGUUUAUAACUACAGAUUGUAAAAUCAGUGUUUUUAACAGGAAUCUAAUAAAGAGAUACAUUGCUGUAAUAUGUUGGUUUUAGGAAUAUGACAUUAGUUGAACUCAUAUACUCUGGUCUUAAUGACAGGACAUGUCUCAACCUUAGUUCAUAAUUUGAAUUAAUCCAAAGUUAAAACACCAAUAGUAUCUACUCCUCUCUCCUCCACUUUCAGUACUAUGCAAUUUGGUGGGUUUUGUUACUGUUGUUUGUGGAUGGUGUUUUCUGGAAAGCCAGUUAGUUACAGGCUUCUUCCUGUUGCAUGUUAAUCCCACUGAGCAGCACUUGGUUCCUGUUUAUUUAUCUGAUUCUGGCAAGCAGGAGCGUGCACACUCAGUACCAGCAAAUCCACUAGUCUGUGGGAGCCGGAGAUUAGCAUCUGGGGACCAAAGAGUGGUGGUCUGCUUGGGGUUAAUGCCCCUUUUUUGGGGUAAUGCUGCUCCCCAAGCCCUUACUCUCACAUCAGGGAGGGUCUUCACCAUUACAUAGCAAUUGUGCUGCCUCAGUUUGGGACAGCAAAUGUCUGUGAUGGAGUCUCUAUAUUGCUCUGGCUUCAGAUACUGCUACCUUCUCUCACAUAUUUCAUAAAUGUACUUUAUGUUGAUAACAUGCCUUUAAAAUUCUGCUGAAUGGAAUAAAGGAUACCAAACAGUAAAUUGAAAAGGUAUAAAAAUGGAUCUGUCACGUAUCCUAUAGUAUAUCUGCAAUUUCUGCAAUGCUUUUAGCAGUAAGGAAGAGCCAGGUGGUGUUUUUAUUUCUAACAGAUACACAUUAUAUGCAGCUGGUUUAGUUUUUAGUUUAGAUGUUGAAAAUGUGUAUGGAACUUUUAGCUGCUGUAAUAUGUUUAGUAAUAAUAUUCCAUGUCCCUGAAGCCCACUCCAGCUGGAGAUAUAAAUCAUCUAAACAGGCAUUAAUAAAUUAGAGUCUAAAAUACCUUUACCUUCAUUUAACUUAUUUUGAAAAAGAAACCCUUUAUUCCUCUUUAAAAUGAAUCUAAGAUAUCUGUUGUUUUUAAAGAAAUAGCACUCGGUUUAUUUAUUGUUCGUAUUUAUGGAAAAAAAGCUGGUAAAGGUUAUAGGCCAGCUUUAUUUAUAUAUAUCUUUCAGAGCAAAGGCCUGCACUUGUUCAUGAAUGUCAGAGGUGAAAAUCAAACUUCUGCAGAAAGGUCACAAAGCUUUCAAGAUUUGUUAGAUACUCCAAGAAAAUCUUGUAUAGGAUUUAAAAAAUCGGUAGGAUUUCAUGUGUGAAGAGGAAAGAACUGCAGAAGCUGAGACAUCAUUCAUCUUUGAUUCAUCAUUCUUCUUAACUGCACCUGAAACUUUUUCUUUUAAACGUGUGUUACUAUAAAAAUUUCCCCCAUAGAGUCACAUACUGUAAAAUUGUGUAUUAUUUUUUCUUGAGUAGGUUCCCCUCUUUUUCCACUAAGAUGUGAUAAGUAUUUAAAGGAAAUAAAGGUGUUGAGCUUGUGGUAAAAA